GACAGUUUAGCCAUAUUAAAUUAUACUAGCAAGGCCUAUUUUAUAUAACACUACAAACGUAGUCAGAUGAGAGACAAGUGGAAAAAGAAUACCUUUCAGUGCUAUUCACCUGGGAAAGCUUCAAGCUGUACAAUUAAGGAGAAAUUAAACACACAUUAGUAAGGCAAGCAAUGAGUCGGCCACAGGAGAACAGGUGAAGGUAAUUCUCCUGUGCUACCGGAAGGAGUGAAGCCUGGCUCCACCUCUCCUAGGUCCCAUUUCAGUGCUGACUGCCACUGAGGAAGGAUCUCUUCCUGGAGAUCACUCCUUGUGGAGAAUAUUGCAAGCUUACAACAUUGACCAGCAAGACUUCACACAAGAUAAAUAUGGCAUGUUGCCUCCUAUGAAGACGUAAUAUCUCUGGAAAGAAGCAACAAAGACAAAUGCAUUUUACAGAAACCUAAAGAUUAACUCAUCUCACCUGGCUGCAGACAGACAAGUAUGUCAUCUGAACUAUGUUCUUACUCUGCCUUUAAAGUCAAUGGACCGAGAUCUCUGAAUGUGUUAAACUGCCUUGGAGGUUAGGAAACCUCCUGGUAUCACUGUUCUUGGAUGCCCAGCCAUAGAUGAAAGAUGUUCUCAGCCCGUGUCCUGAGGUGGCAGCUGCCCUGGUCCCUCAUAUGCAAAGCACAGGGAAGCUACAGCUCUAAUUAAUCCACAACCACCCUGUGUCACCAGCAGACUUCUGCAAAUUGAUUUCUUUUUGGUACAAAAUUCCACAUAUCACUUGCUCUAAGUAUGGUGCUGUGCCCACUAAAAGUAUGUGCAUUUCUGUGUGUGACCUAAGGAAGGGAAAAGGGCCUGGUUAUUUAUUAUUACUCUAAGUUUUUUCUCAGGAGGAACUAUUGAUGUCCUUACCUUUAUUCAGCCUCUCUAAAUAAAU
Molecule: long non-coding RNA, 922 nt
Organism: Meleagris gallopavo (turkey)
Lineage: Eukaryota; Metazoa; Chordata; Aves; Galliformes; Phasianidae
Source: RefSeq, a predicted model, not a curated record